AUUGAACGCUGGCGGCAUGCUUUACACAUGCAAGUCGAACGGUAACAGGUUAAGCUGACGAGUGGCGAACGGGUGAGUAAUGCAUCGGAACGUGCCCGGUCGUGGGGGAUAACGCAGCGAAAGCUGCGCUAAUACCGCAUACGAUCUGAGGAUGAAAGCGGGGGACCGUAAGGCCUCGCGCGAUCGGAGCGGCCGAUGUCAGAUUAGGUAGUUGGUGGGGUAAAGGCUCACCAAGCCAACGAUCUGUAGCUGGUCUGAGAGGACGACCAGCCACACUGGGAGUGAGACACGGCCCAGGCUCCUACGGGAGGCAGCAGUGGGGAAUUUUGGACAAUGGGCGAAAGCCUGAUCCAGCAAUGCCGCGUGCAGGAAGAAGGCCUUCGGGUUGUAAACUGCUUUUGUACGGAGCGAAAAGGCCUCCUCUAAUACAGGGGGCUCAUGACGGUACCGUAAGAAUAAGCACCGGCUAACUACGUGCCAGCAGCCGCGGUAA
RNAcentral lists this ribosomal RNA (493 nucleotides) under uncultured bacterium. RNAcentral's name for it is "partial 16S ribosomal RNA". It matches the Rfam family "Bacterial small subunit ribosomal RNA", at positions 29 to 523 of the family's 1533-position model. The record is from RNAcentral.